Molecule: long non-coding RNA, 522 nt
Filed under: Anser brachyrhynchus (Pink-footed goose)
Lineage: Eukaryota; Metazoa; Chordata; Aves; Anseriformes; Anatidae
Description: lncRNA (ENSABRG00000003756.1)
Source: RNAcentral
AAAUUCUGUCACAAUUUUCCUUCUUUGGAAAUGUCUGCAAUUUCUCUGACUUGUAGUUUUCAUUACCAGGAGAGGUUACAACACUCUGGGUUUGGCCAAGAUGCAAAUUGAUCUCCCACAAAGAUUUAGAGAAAGUCUGGAGCAACUAAUUUGCAUAUCUAUAUAUCAGCAGCAAGUUAACAGGACCAGAGACACAGAAAUGGAGUGGACAAAAGACACCUUAAGAAGCUACAAACCAACAACCAGAAAGCCUUUUAGCUCAUGAAAAUAUCCUGUGUAGAAGCACAGUAUAGAAGAAAAAGGCUGGUAUGUGACUGAAGAAACUGUGACUGAAGUAAUUGAGUCUACCACAGAUGACUUUGCAUGAAUUUGAGUUCUCAUUUCUUUCCACACAAGCUCACCCUACAAAUGAAUAAGAUGGCAAUAUUCACUUUAACUAGCUCUUUCAAAUUGUAGUGACCCUUAUCAUAUGAAAGCAUAUCACCUAAUAGAGAAUAAACUGUUCUCACUGGACCUAAUGCA